RNAcentral lists this ribosomal RNA (557 nucleotides) under Lactococcus sp. WW-9. Its description in RNAcentral is "bacterial SSU rRNA". It matches the Rfam family "Bacterial small subunit ribosomal RNA", at positions 382 to 930 of the family's 1533-position model. Lineage: Bacteria; Bacillati; Bacillota; Bacilli; Lactobacillales; Streptococcaceae. The record is from RNAcentral.
UCUGACCGAGCAACGCCGCGUGAGUGAAGAAGGUUUUCGGAUCGUAAAACUCUGUUGGUAGAGAAGAACGUUGGUGAGAGUGGAAAGCUCAUCAAGUGACGGUAACUACCCAGAAAGGGACGGCUAACUACGUGCCAGCAGCCGCGGUAAUACGUAGGUCCCGAGCGUUGUCCGGAUUUAUUGGGCGUAAAGCGAGCGCAGGUGGUUUAUUAAGUCUGGUGUAAAAGGCAGUGGCUCAACCAUUGUAUGCAUUGGAAACUGGUAGACUUGAGUGCAGGAGAGGAGAGUGGAAUUCCAUGUGUAGCGGUGAAAUGCUGUAGAUAUAUGGAGGAACACCGGUGGCGAAAGCGGCUCUCUGGCCUGUAACUGACACUGAGGCUCGAAAGCGUGGGGAGCAAACAGGAUUAGAUACCCUGGUAGUCCACGCCGUAAACGAUGAGUGCUAGAUGUAGGGAGCUAUAAGUUCUCUGUAUCGCAGCUAACGCAAUAAGCACUCCGCCUGGGGAGUACGACCGCAAGGUUGAAACUCAAAGGAAUUGACGGGGGCCCGCACAAGC